UCCCUGGUGGUCCACUGGCUAAGGCGCCUUGCUUCCAAUGCAGGAGGCCUGGGUUUGAUCCCUGGUCAGGGAA
Molecule: transfer RNA, 73 nt
Filed under: Bos taurus (domestic cattle)
Lineage: Eukaryota; Metazoa; Chordata; Mammalia; Artiodactyla; Bovidae
Also listed under: 2 other names
Rfam family: tRNA
About the family: Transfer RNA (tRNA) molecules are approximately 80 nucleotides in length.
Source: Rfam by way of RNAcentral